This is a long non-coding RNA of Mytilus trossulus (common blue mussel), 1366 nucleotides long. RefSeq lists it as uncharacterized. NCBI's taxonomy places the organism in Eukaryota, Metazoa, Mollusca, Bivalvia, Mytilida, Mytilidae. The transcript is spliced from 3 exons. The record is from RefSeq and is a predicted model, not a curated record.
GUAUUAUAUGACAAAAAAAAACAGUUUUACCUUAAAAUUCAGACUUUCUACUAAAAUAAACUGUAAUUUUGAUCUUAUUUCAACCUUUAUUUUUGUUUUUAUUUUUAUUGACAUAAAUGUGUUUUUCUAGAAUUUGAAUCCAGUCUGUACUGAAAAUGUCCAUAAAACCUCAAAAGUCACUCAAAUUGAAACAAUAUUUUGUUAAACGUUAUGGUUCACUACAAACUACUAUUCCUUAACGGGAUUUUCGUUGCAAAUUGAUAUAAGCUUAUUUAAAUAAAUGAUGAAAAACUGAAAAAUAUACCUAAAAUUAUCUCCCUUUGUAAAACUCUUCACAAUAAAAGGUAGAUUUAUUGUCAAUAACAGAAGGAGGGAAAUCAACAAAUGUGCAAAAGGAUAGAAAAUAAUGGUAUUUUUUUAUGAAUAUGGUGUAGCCAAAAACUUAUUUUCAUUGAAAGAGUGUAACAAAGACAUAGUAAACCAUAUGGCCAAGACAUUCAAACUGCCAUUGGGAUAAGUCUGAUCCUGAUCAGAUUAAGUCUAGACAUGACAUGAGGCUAGACUCACUAUCAUGUCUAGGUUUCAGACUCACAUAACAUAAUUUUAAAUGCAUAUGCUGCAAACAUGGACAGGAGUUGGAUUGCAGUGGACAAGAAGACAAAAUGAGUUGAUGUCAUCCUUUCAUGACCCUUGCAAAUCUAGCAACGGAAAUUCGUAGGCAAAACUUUCAGUUUCAUUUGGUUCUGGUUAAUGUUGAAGAUGGAAAAGCACAAAAAAAAUAUAUAAAUGAAAGCAGAUACAUGUAUGAUAGGAGAUCAUAUAGAUAUUUGGUGAUCCAAAAAUAACUGGAGUUCAUGAAACAAGACUGAUUGCUGGGACACAUUUUUGUUGAUAAACAUGUUUAUGAUGAAGAAAAACUUGGAUAGUAUUACGGAUACUUGAAUAAGGCUCUGAUCUGUCUUUGAUUUUUCCUGUUGGUGUUAAAAAAUUGCAAGCUCAAAUAAAAAUUAAUUGAAAUGGAACUCAUGGAUAUGCUUUGAAAAAAGAAUUAAACAGCAAUGUGAAUCUCGCCAAAGUCUUACCAACAACCAAGUCAACACACAGUUGCAACACAAAUGAGAAGAGAGAGACAUUUGCAAGGACUUAGAGUGUUCUCACUGUCUCACCAUUAAAAUGGCUUUCUCAUCAGCAAAGAAGAAGUCUUAAAAUUACUUCUGCAUUAAAAGGUCAUCAAUAUUGAAGACAAUCAAGAAGAUUACGGUUGUACUUGGCCAUUUGAUAAACAUUAUAAUAUUUUCAUUUGUCAGAAAUUGUUACUUAGAUUGACUAACUAGUUUUAUUGAUUGAAUUGUUAGUAAAUUACCUU